This 253-nucleotide ribosomal RNA is filed under the name uncultured bacterium. Its description in RNAcentral is "partial 16S ribosomal RNA". It matches the Rfam family "Bacterial small subunit ribosomal RNA", at positions 524 to 776 of the family's 1533-position model. The record is from RNAcentral.
UACAGAGGUCUCAAGCGUUGUUCGGAUUCAUUGGGCGUAAAGGGUGCGUAGGCGGCGCUGCAAGUUGGGUGUGAAAUCCCUCGGCUCAACCGAGGAACUGCAUUCAAAACUACAGUGCUUGAGGGAGACAGAGGUGAGCGGAACUUAGGGUGGAGCGGUGAAAUGCGUUGAUAUCCUAAGGAACACCCGUGGCGAAAGCGGCUCACUGGGUCUCUUCUGACGCUGAGGCACGAAAGCUAGGGGAGCGAACGGG